Molecule: transfer RNA, 70 nt
Filed under: Camelus bactrianus (Bactrian camel)
Lineage: Eukaryota; Metazoa; Chordata; Mammalia; Artiodactyla; Camelidae
Also listed under: 2 other names
Rfam family: tRNA
About the family: Transfer RNA (tRNA) molecules are approximately 80 nucleotides in length. Their secondary structure includes four short double-helical elements and three loops (D, anti-codon, and T loops).
Source: Rfam by way of RNAcentral
GAGGGUAUAGCUUAGUGGUAGUGCAUGCUUAGCAUGCAGGAGGUCCUGGGUUCAAUCCCCAGUACCUCCA